GAAAUGCGAUAAGUAAUGUGAAUUGCAGAAUUCAGUGAAUCAUCGAAUCUUUGAACGCACAUUGCGCCCCUUGGUAUUCCGAGGGGCAUGCCUGUUCGAGCGUCAUUGCAACCCUCAAGCUUUGCUUGGUAUUGAGCUUUUCGCCGGAGACGGCGUGCUCGAAAAUUAGUGGCGGUCCGGGGAGACUUCAAGCGCAGUAAAAACUUUCCGCUUUCGAGGUCCUCGCCUGCGAUCAGCCGUAAACCCCCCCCAACUUUUCAAUGAUUGACCUCGGAUCAGGUAGGGAUACCCGCUGAACUUAA
RNAcentral lists this unclassified non-coding RNA (302 nucleotides) under uncultured Teloschistaceae. RNAcentral describes it as "sequence contains ITS1". The stretch from base 1 to 105 matches the Rfam family "5.8S ribosomal RNA", at positions 50 to 154 of the family's 154-position model. Lineage: Eukaryota; Fungi; Ascomycota; Lecanoromycetes; Lecanorales. The record is from RNAcentral.